RNAcentral lists this long non-coding RNA (853 nucleotides) under Homo sapiens (human). Its description in RNAcentral is "HSALNT0363207". Lineage: Eukaryota; Metazoa; Chordata; Mammalia; Primates; Hominidae. The record is from RNAcentral.
UCCUCCUUCCGGGUGCAGGCGGGCCUGGGCAGUCUGAGUCCUACCUCAGCCCCCACCUCACCUCCCUGCAUCCUCCUAGCAUCUCUGCAGGGCUAGCCCAGAGGUUGGCGGCGGAAGGCCCACAGCUCCCCUGGCUCCAUGGGCAAUGACCGAACAGCCCUUCACCUCUCUGGGCCUUGUUUUCUCAAACUGAAACUGGAGAGGAUGACCCCAGCCUGGGACCUUCGAGGGCCUCAAAAGGGCUCUGGGCCUUGCGUGACAGAGUCUUGCUGUGUUGCCCGGGCUGGUCUCGAACUCCUGGGCUCAAGUGAUCCUCCCGCCUUGGCCUCCUGAAGGGCUGAGAUGACGGCAUGAGCUGCCUCACGCAGCCCCCAUUCUACACCUCUGAAGUGAGUUUACAUGGUACAGUUGCUGUCUGGCUAGCUGCCGUCCCAACAUCACUGUCAGGACCCACACCUGAAAAGCACCAGCAUCAAAUCCUUCAGAAGAGUGUCAGCAGCUUGGAAGAAAUCCUAGAGGCUGGACGAUGAAUGUGAUGGCUGGAACUCAAGCAGCCACAGUGGAUCAUAAGGGACGGUGUCUUGCUAUGUUGUCCAAGCUGGUCUCAAACUGGCCUGAAUCAAUGCUUCCACCUCAGCUGCCAGAGGAACCGGGAUUACAGGCCUGAGCCACUGCAGCCAGCCAGUUUGUUAUUUUAAUGUAAAUUCUUAGUAAACAACUCAGGAGCUCUCUUGUCCUUUUAAAAUCCAUUUCAACUUCUGCUAAUCGGAGUGUAUAUUCAGGGCAACUUGAAUCUGUGCUCCUGGGAUGCAAUCCUCAAGCUUGGCCCAAAUAAAGUCUCCGCUGAUAUUAA